RNAcentral lists this microRNA precursor (119 nucleotides) under Canis lupus familiaris (dog). Its description in RNAcentral is "miRNA (ENSCAFG00000055075.1, ENSCAFG00845026741.1)". The record is from RNAcentral. Lineage: Eukaryota; Metazoa; Chordata; Mammalia; Carnivora; Canidae.
GGCAGGAGCAUCCUGGUUGUCCUGUGCCCUCCCCACCUCUGCCUGUCCCGGGCGGGGGGGAGCGCAGGAUCCUGGGCUGUGUCCCCCGGCGCUCUGGGCUCCGGGGCCUGCGCUGCUGG